UACGUAGGGGGCAAGCGUUGUUCGGAAUUACUGGGCGUAAAGGGCUCGUAGGUGGCCAACUAAGUCAGACGUGAAAUCCCUCGGCUUAACCGGGGAACUGCGUCUGAUACUGGAUGGCUUGAGUUCGGGAGAGGGAUGCGGAAUUCCAGGUGUAGCGGUGAAAUGCGUAGAUAUCUGGAGGAACACCGGUGGCGAAGGCGGCAUCCUGGACCGACACUGACGCUGAGGCGCGAAAGCUAGGGGAGCAAACGGG
Molecule: ribosomal RNA, 253 nt
Filed under: uncultured bacterium
Lineage: Bacteria
Description: partial 16S ribosomal RNA
Rfam family: Bacterial small subunit ribosomal RNA
Source: RNAcentral